Molecule: ribosomal RNA, 492 nt
Filed under: uncultured bacterium
Lineage: Bacteria
Description: partial 16S ribosomal RNA
Rfam family: Bacterial small subunit ribosomal RNA
Source: RNAcentral
AGUGAACGCUGGCGGUAGGCCUAACACAUGCAAGUCGAACGGCAGCACAGUAAGAGCUUGCUCUUACGGGUGGCGAGUGGCGGACGGGUGAGGAAUACAUCGGAAUCUACUUUUUCGUGGGGGAUAACGUAGGGAAACUUACGCUAAUACCGCAUACGACCUAUGGGUGAAAGCAGGGGAUCUUCGGACCUUGCGCGAUUGAAUGAGCCGAUGUCGGAUUAGCUAGUUGGCGGGGUAAAGGCCCACCAAGGCGACGAUCCGUAGCUGGUCUGAGAGGAUGAUCAGCCACACUGGAACUGAGACACGGUCCAGACUCCUACGGGAGGCAGCAGUGGGGAAUAUUGGACAAUGGGCGCAAGCCUGAUCCAGCCAUACCGCGUGGGUGAAGAAGGCCUUCGGGUUGUAAAGCCCCUUUGUUGGGAAAGAAAAGCAGCAGGUUAAUACCCCGCUGUUCUGACGGUACCCAAAGAAUAAGCACCGGCUAACUUCGUG